This 67-nucleotide transfer RNA is filed under the name human gut metagenome. It matches the Rfam family "tRNA". Rfam says of the family: Transfer RNA (tRNA) molecules are approximately 80 nucleotides in length. The record is from RNAcentral.
CUCUGUAGCUCAGUCGGUAGAGCAAAGGACUGAAAAUCCUUGUGUCGGUGGUUCGAUUCCACUCGGA